Molecule: transfer RNA, 63 nt
Filed under: Nuttalliella namaqua
Lineage: Eukaryota; Metazoa; Arthropoda; Arachnida; Ixodida; Nuttalliellidae
Description: tRNA-Tyr
Source: RNAcentral
GGUAUAAUGGCUGAGUAUUUAGGUGAUAAAUUGUAAAUUUAUAUAGGAUUAAUUCUUAUACCA